This 484-nucleotide ribosomal RNA is filed under the name uncultured bacterium. RNAcentral describes it as "bacterial SSU rRNA". It matches the Rfam family "Bacterial small subunit ribosomal RNA", at positions 32 to 507 of the family's 1533-position model. The record is from RNAcentral.
GACGAAACGCUGGCGGCGUGCCUAACACAUGCAAGUCGAACGGGGUUAAUUCCUUCGGGGAUUAACUUAGUGGCGAACGGGUGAGUAACGCGUGAGAAACCUGCCUUUCAGUGGGGGACAACAGUUGGAAACGACUGCUAAUACCGCAUAACGUUAUUUAGGGGCAUCCCUGAAUAACCAAAGCUUUAUGUGCUGAGAGAUGGUCUCGCGUCUGAUUAGCUAGGUGGCGGGGUAACGGCCCACCUAGCCUUCGAUCAUUAGGGGUUCUGAGAGGAAGGUCCCCCACACUGGAACUGAGACACGGUCCAGACUCCUACGGGAGGCAGCAGUGAGGAAUAUUGGUCAAUGGGCGAGAGCCUGAACCAGCCAAGUAGCGUGAAGGAAGACUGCCCUAUGGGUUGUAAACUUCUUUUGUUCGGGAAUAAAGUGCAGUACGCGUACUGUUUUGUAUGUACCGUUCGAAUAAGCAUCGGCUAAUUCCGUG